AUAACAAGUCUAACUGGCUCUGGAAAGCUGAAAGGGCUGCACUGGAACAACACAGAUGAGAUAUUCUACACAUUAAUCUACUUAUCUGGAAUCACUUUGCCUCUAAAGGCCAGAGAAAAAUCACAGCUUCCUUGUCGGAGGGGAAAAGGACAGGUGAUCUGGGGAAAACGCAGCUACACCUGGAGCAAGGUCUCUUCCCGGCUUGGCAAUCUCAGCUGUGCCGGCGCUACGGGACCCGAGCCGUCCCAGAAACCAAAGGGCAGGCACGGCAGCAAACGCCUGAGCCUGCCUUGUACUUCAUGCAGGUUGAACAGAAAUGUUUUCUGAGCAUGUAUUGUUACAGCCCUCUGAGAUGGUAUAAAAGAAUGAAAGAAGACACGACCUGCCUUCCAGGAGUUUCACAAAAAAGAUGGGAUGAACACAGUGUUCACUUCCACCUUCCACCCUUUCACUAUGAAGGACCCUCACCAGAUGGUGGCACCAUGCUCUCGGACUUCCCAGCCUCCAGAACUGGACGGGUAAAUUGAAGCAAAAAGCAGACAAGUUCUAUGGGAUUUGCUGGCAUUGAUUUCCCAGGAUGGCAAAGUGCUAAGAACUAAACCUUUAAAGCUAACAAAAUGUACUGAUGUCUUUGCAAAGUAUCCAAGACCAACAAGAAAGUAAUUUCCCACCUCACCCUACCACCACCCAGAAAAGGAGCACAGAGAUGGGGAAGAGAGUGGCUGCAUCUGGCAUCCAGCCAGAGGAGUCCGUGCAGGGAUUCUGGAUCCCUCUUCCCCCACCCCACUGCCCUUCCCCCUCCACCCCAGCGUUUUGGAGAAGCAAGAAACUGUGAUGAUGCAGCUCCCUCAAGUAUCACAUGAAGAUAGUGGAAAGAGCCUCCUGAGGUAAAUAUGCCAUGUAGACAGAAACAAGCAAUGGCUCAACAGCAAUGUAUGAGGUCCAAGGACCAGGACCAAAGGGAAAAACAGCCAUCUCACCAGACACCUGCCUACGACCAGAUGCGUCAUCUCCAAUAUUAGCUAACUCCCUGGAACCUGGACUCAAGGUGUGAAAUAAAGGUUAAUGGGAAACCGCAGGAGUCAAAAGGAGGGGGCAGGAUUAUUGAGGAUUCAGGCUGUUGAGAAAUGAAAGUUUGGAUCACUCCCCAGAUAAAGAACCUUGACCAUUUAAGGGCAAUGGAAAUACAGAAUAGGCAGUAGAAGAAGGAAGCCAUAGAUACCAACUAUGGCCUCUCAAUCAAUUACAAAACUGAGAAUUCUGACAGUUUUGUGUAUUUCCUCUUUGCAUGUGAUGUAUAUGUGUGUAUUUGUAUAUAUUAACCAUUUUCCUUUUUCUCUCUUCAUUAUUUUAUGAAAGUUGUUGAAUAUAAACUCUACAAUUUAGCCUUUAGGUAAGAGAAUAUUCAGUGGGACUUUGAUUUGAGGAGUAUUUAAGACAGCCAGAUGAGACUACGAUAACUGUUGGAACUGUGUGUCUCCUCAUUUGGGGAAAGGGGUGAGAACUCUGCAUUUCUCUGAAGAACAGAGUUGACUUUGUGUUAUACAGAGUUCAAAUAUAUAUAUAAAAUGGUGCAUGUGGAAGCUAAGAAGCCAAAGGAGUUCACCAAGACAGUUAUCAAUAUAUUGCCUCUCCGCUCCAAAUCCACCCUUCUUUGCCCUGUUCCACGAUACUAAUCUGGCUCCUCGGUCAGCCAGUGCAAUGUCAUCUGUUGCUGGUAGAGUGUAGGGGAGACACUACAAGGUAUAGUAAAGGGGUCAGAUGCGGUGUCUCAUGCCUGUAAUCACAGCCCUUUGGGAGGCAGAGGCAGGAGGAUCACCUGAGGCCAGGAGUUUGAGACCAGCCUGGACAACAUGGUAAAACCCCAUCUCUACUGAAAAUACAAAAUUAGCACGCACCUGUAAUCCCAGCUACUCGGGAGGCUGAGGCAGGAGAAUCACUUGAACCUGGGAGGUGGAGGUUGCAGUGAGCCAAGAUCGCAUCAUUGCACUCCAGCCAGGGAAAAAAGGCAAAACUCUGUCUCAAAAAAAUAAAUAAAUAAAAUAAAAUAAAACAAGGUAUAGCAAAU
RNAcentral lists this long non-coding RNA (2068 nucleotides) under Homo sapiens (human). Its description in RNAcentral is "non-protein coding PART1:6". The stretch from base 1 to 188 matches the Rfam family "Prostate androgen-regulated transcript 1 conserved region 2", at positions 63 to 249 of the family's 249-position model. Lineage: Eukaryota; Metazoa; Chordata; Mammalia; Primates; Hominidae. The record is from RNAcentral.